RNAcentral lists this long non-coding RNA (572 nucleotides) under Pongo abelii (Sumatran orangutan). RNAcentral's name for it is "lincRNA". Lineage: Eukaryota; Metazoa; Chordata; Mammalia; Primates; Hominidae. The record is from RNAcentral.
GAAGUGCUGACUGCGCCGCGCUCUCUCAGCCGCCGCCACUGCGGACGCCCGCCCGGGACGGCGACCGCUUCCUCCCUCCGCGCCCGCCUUGUCUCUUUUUGGUCUCGCUCUGCCGCCCAGGCUGGAGUCAGUGGCACCAUCGUGGCUCACUGCGGCCUCCACCGCCGGGACUCCAGGGAUCCUCCCGCCUCAGCCUCCCGAGGAGCUGGGACCACAUCACCUGGCUAAUUUUAAAAUUUUUCUGUAGAGACAGGAUCUCACUUUGUUGCCCAGGCUGGUCUCAAACUCCUGGGCUCAAGCGACCCUCCCGCCUCGGCCUCCCAAAGUGCCACCGUGCCAAGCCUCAAUUAGGUUUUUAAUUUUAAUUUGGCAUUGUUUGAGGCUCAGACUGCUGCCAUGUCAUUUUCACACGACAGCAAGUUGGGGACAGCGAGUUGUUCUGUCCUGCGCGUGCGUCCCCUCAUGGUCUUGAGUGACCUGACCCUCUGUGGGGAGCCCUGAGCCUCCUCCCGGCUCCCGCUGCCCCAGCUCUCAGCUAAUGGAGACUCCAGGGCGGGCUCAAGCCCCCGGCC